Molecule: ribosomal RNA, 467 nt
Filed under: uncultured bacterium
Lineage: Bacteria
Description: partial 16S ribosomal RNA
Rfam family: Bacterial small subunit ribosomal RNA
Source: RNAcentral
GACGAACGCUGGCGGCGUGCUUAACACAUGCAAGUCGAACGGAAAGGCCCUGCUUUUGUGGGGUGCUCGAGUGGCGAACGGGUGAGUAACACGUGAGUAACCUGCCCUUGACUUUGGGAUAACUUCAGGAAACUGGGGCUAAUACCGGAUAGGAGCUCCUGCUUCAUGGUGGGCGUUGGAAAGUUUCGGCGGUUGGGGAUGGACUCGCGGCUUAUCAGCUUGUUGGUGGGGUAGUGGCUUACCAAGGCUUGGACGGUAGCCGGCCUGAGAGGGUGACCGGCCACAUUGGGACUGAGAUACGGCCCAGACUCCUACGGGAGGCAGCAGUGGGGAAUAUUGCACAAUGGGCGGAAGCCUGAUGCAGCAACGCCGCGUGCGGGAUGACGGCCUUCGGGUUGUAAACCGCUUUCGCCUGUGACGAAGCGUGAGUGACGGUAAUGGGUAAAGAAGCACCGGCUAACUACGUG